AUGAGUGAGGACAGCUGCUGGUGAAUCGACUACAAUAAUAAUUCGACUAUCGACUAUAUACAUCGACCAGCUCGAUGUUUGGUCAAAUACUGAAAUUAAAUUAUGAAUAAUAAUUAAUAAUUAACAGAGUGUGACCAGUUAAUAGUACACCCUGGUACAAAACAACACGUCUUAUCCACUUUUAAUGUGUAUUAUGUGGAGGGUACCUAUUGUACUAAUCCUGACGAAUGACGAUCAUAGGCGUGUCUACGGGGGAGGUAGGUUGGGCAGCUGCCUCCUCAGCGACUUAUUGGAGGGUUUUACCAGUAUAAAGUACCUAACCAGUACCUAAUACCUAUGUACUAUGUAGUAUAUAAAAAUUAAAUUUUUAUGAUUUGUCUCCCUAGCCAUAAACGUCUAGACACACCUAUGCUGACGAAGGUUAGCUGUGAGAAAAAAAAUAGAUUGAAUGUUAAAAUGGACAUAUUAAAAUUUAAAUACUUGUCUUUUUUUAAUUAUAUAAUAUGAGACAUGAGUAGUACAAUAUAUAGGUUUUGUAUAAUCAUGACAAAUCAUCUUAUAAUAUGAUAUUUUAUGAUUUUAAUUCAAAAUGUACUUUUGCAAAUUUCAGACAUU
Rhopalosiphum padi (bird cherry-oat aphid) is the source of this 615-nucleotide long non-coding RNA. RefSeq lists it as uncharacterized. Lineage: Eukaryota; Metazoa; Arthropoda; Insecta; Hemiptera; Aphididae. The transcript has 3 exons. The record is from RefSeq and is a predicted model, not a curated record.